RNAcentral lists this long non-coding RNA (5161 nucleotides) under Cottoperca gobio. RNAcentral's name for it is "lncRNA (ENSCGOG00000016951.1)". Lineage: Eukaryota; Metazoa; Chordata; Actinopteri; Perciformes; Bovichtidae. The record is from RNAcentral.
GGAGAGGAGGAAAGAAGAAAAGGGAGGAGGAGUGAGGAGAAAGGCGCACCUUUCUUCUUCUUUCUCUACCUUCUCCAUCUUUUCUUCUUCUUUCUCUACCUCCUCCAUCUUUUCUUCUUCUUUCUCUACCUUCUCCACCUUUUCUUCUUCUUUCUUUACCUCCUCCACCUUUUCUUCUUCUUUCUCUACCUCCUCCACCUUUUCUUCUUCUUUCUCUACCUCCUCCACCUUUUCUUCUUCUUUCUCUACCUUCUCCACCUUUUCUUCUUCUUUCUCUACCUCCUCCACCUUUUCUUCUUCUUUCUUUACCUUCUCCACCUUUUCUUCUUCUUUCUCUACCUUCUCCAUACACUGUAUAAUGCUCAUUGGUGUGUGUUUGUAGGCUUGAGGCAGAUACACUCCAUGUCACUGAUGCACCGCUUAUUCUCUGCUGUUGACAUCAUACGAUAACAAAAUGUUCAAUUCUCGUUCCAGUUUCUCCCGCAGGUGGAGUGACUCAGAAGCAAUCAAGAUGUUAGUGAAUCUGUUCUGUGCAGCAGCAGAGAGAGAACAGCAGACAGGAGAGAAGAUACUGGAGCUGUUAUCAUCAGUGUGCACAUACAAAACAUUCCCUCUCCCUCACUGGGAUUAUUAUGAUGAUGAUGAUGAUGAUGAUGAUCAGUGUAGUGUCCUGCUGGAUCUGUACUCCCGCCUGAAGGACCAUGAGACUGAAACAGGUCUGAGUGUCCUUCCAUCAUUACACUCAGUUCUCCAGUCAGCUCCUGCAGUCUGGUCCAUAGACCUCUCAGAGAGAAAGACCUCCAUCCUCCUGGAAGUAUUGAAACUCCAACCAGAGAAGAAACAAGUGGAGCUGACAGGCUGCUCAGGUGAAGAGAGUGAAGUGAGGAGUGUCCUACAGUGUCUGCCUUAUAUCUCACAGCUCAGUUUCAGGCCUCAGUCAUCAAAACCUUCAGAAGAAAUCAAGAUGUUAGUGAAUCUGUUCUGUGCAGCAGCAGAGAGAGAACAGCAGACAGGAGAGAAGAUACUGGAGCUGUUAUCAUCAGUGUGCACAUACAAAACAUUCCCUCUCCCUCACUGGGAUUAUAAUAAUGAUUAUGAUGAUGAUGAUGAUCAGUGUAGUGUCCUGCUGGAUCUGUACUCCCGCCUGAAGGACCAUGAGACUGAAACAGGUCUGAGUGUUCUUCCAUCAUUACACUCAGUUCUCCAGUCAGUUCCUGCAGUCUGGUCCAUAGACCUCUCAGAGACAAAGACCUCCAUCCUCCUGGAAGUGUUGAAACUCCAACCAGAGAAGAAACAAGUGAAGCUGAGAGGCUGCUCACAUGAAGAGAGUGAAGUGAGGAGUGUCCUACAGUGUCUGCCUUAUAUCUCACAGCUCAGUUGCGAUCCAGAGUUCUUCCAGAGAGUGUGUACAUUCCUGUCUGUCCGAUCCAGAGCGGAGGCUGAGCAGUUGUCCUCUCUGCUGCAGCUGCUGGGGUUCACCCUGCGGUUAACAGGAGACUUACCCAGGAAAACCUGCCGGUCUGUGGGGAGAGUUCUCCGAGUCUGUGGCUCUAAAGUGGAUCUCACCCUCACACCCAGAAAGAUGUCUGUCAGAGGAGCCUCCCUCCUCUUUAGACGCACAACACAUCUUCACAGUCUGAGGCUUUCCAUCGACAUGGCCUUGCUACUGUGUGGAUGGGUAAGAAGACGGAGAGUGGCCUGUCCGGUGACUAUUGAAGAGCUAUCUCUCUGCCCUCAGACAGCCCUUCCAUCACAAAGAGAGAGGAGGGUUGGCAGUAGUUUGGCCUCCCUGCUGAGAUACUGGCCAGUCAGACGGUUAGAGCUGACUGAGCUCUGUGUUCCUGCUCUGGCUCUCAUUCCACUGCUGCUUCAUGAUGGCCGUCUAAAACUCACACUGAGUGAGAAGACUUUCCAGCAGCUCCUCUCCCUCCUCUAUGAAAACCAGGAUGAGGACUUGACCUGGUGCUUCUUCAGUAAGGUUGGGGGAGACCUGACCUCCUGCAGUCUGAACUGGGAGCUUCUUCACUAUCUGCUGCAGCAGCCUUCAGCUCAGACCAUCACUGUUAACAUGAGGAAGAACCGCUUCUUACAGGAGAGCAUCACACGUCUGCUUCCCUUUCUGGAUAGGAUUGUCUUUAAAAUGCCCAGUCCCAGCUUUGUGUUGACUGCCAUCAGAGAGAUUUAUAAAGCUGGAGCCAGUCCCCUUAUACCCUGUUUACUGAGGUCAUUGGAUCAUGUGAUCAGCCUGACCUGCAAAGAGAUGGACUCGGUGCACUGUGCUGCUCUGCACUUCACCCUCACACACAGUGACAGAGUGAAGCUGAACCUCCUGUGGACCUCCAUACCAGCAGGGGAGAUAGAGUCCCUCGUCUCUAUGCUGGACAAAGUUUCUCAACUCAGUGUUGACAGGAAUCUGCUGCUGAGGUUGGUCCACUGCUGUGCUGCCUCUGACGCCCAGCAGGGGGCAGCAGUGGGUCUGCUCAGGGCUGUGCAGCACAGGCUGGACGUGUCCUGCUCCUCCUGUGUGGAGCUGUCAGAGGAGCAUCACACAGAGACUCUCAGUCUGACUGCUGAUGACUGCAGGGCCAUCUCCACCAUCCUGGGACGCAGCAGCCGGGACACACAGCUCCUCAUGCAGGACUGUGAGGUGGAGGACAGUGGACUGGACCUGCUGUUUCCUGUCCUGGACAGAGUCCGCCUCAGAGCCAGUAAAGCUGUCCUCCUCCAGCUGUUGUCCCUGGUUCCUGUGAACAGUGAGAGGGACACAGUGAGACGGGCAGUGUCCCUCUGUAGAGCCCUGGGUGGAGAGCUGGACCUCAGUCACAGCACUCUGGAUCAGCGGUCCUGUGGAGCUUUGGUCCUGAUGCUGGACUCCUCUGAAGAGCUGACAGAGCUGGACCUCAGUCACUGUCAGCUCACUGACCAGCUGCUGCUCACACUCUGCACACAGCUGCACAAAGUACAAGUCCUGGAUCUGAGUCACAACAACAUCACUGAUGCUUCAACCGACACGUUACUGCAGCUGGUCUCCCUCAACCCCUCCAUUCACACUGUGCGACUCUUCCGGAACAACAUUGUGGACAGAUCAUCCUUCAACAAAGACAAGCAGUUUGAAAUAUGGUGAAGUGUCGUCAGCGUGGCGGUAAUGUGCCGAUCGGUACUAAUACUGUGUUUGAGGUAUCCUGGGUAUAUGGAAGCCAAGAGCAGAGUGUGAUAGUAACUACCUGGAGAUCAGGACUUCUCUCUUGUUCUGGAGGUACUGUAGAUUAUUCUGUCAUGGUGCUCAUAUUCAUGAUCAUUCUCCCGACAUCACAUUGUUCUCUUGGCCUCGUGAUUCAAUUCAUUCUGGCAAAACAAACAGAAGCCAGAACCGUUUACAUUGUUGUUCUUUUGAGAACUGUAUUCUGGGACGAAUCUUUAGUUAAAGAACAAUGACUACAAUGAUUCCUCAAGUCAUGAUGUCAUAAAGAAACAUGGAGAUGACAGUGAAUCAUUUUAACGUUGUGAAUGUGCGGACAUACAAUGUAAGUGACAUUUUAAAGAGAUGCUUUUCUCUGCUCGUUCUCUUUCCCACAUUAAAAUCCUUCUUUCACUAUAAACUGCAGCUUCUGGCUGUAAGUGAAGUUCUGUGUGAAGCAGUUACCAGCUGAGACUUUGUGCCACGACUCCGACACGAGUUCAUAUAUUCUGCAAAGAAUUAUUAUUGUGAAAUGUACGACUGUAAACAUUUGAAAUGUGUUGCAUUAUAUUCAAUGCAUCAUUUUGAGUUGCAGUCAUUACAAUCAUGUUAUGGAGAAUUAAAAACACUCGUCUUUAGAAACAGAAACCUGAUUUAUAUUUGAACCAUUUCACAAACUUUUGAAACAUAUUUGAAAUGAUCAACUUUUAUUCUGGGAAACUCAGUUAUGUAAUUAAUAAACAUAACUGAGGUCAGCAAGAGCCAACCUGCACCGUGGCAGGGAAUUCAUACAAGGCUGCUCCACCCCCCUGUGAGGACAACACAAUCUUUCUCGACAACCUCAACAAUCACUUUGGACGCUUUGAGGCACUAAACAACACAACUGCAAGGAAAGCUGUCCCCAAGCAUGAUGAACAAUCACUGAUCCUCGACACAGCUGAGGUCCGGAGGACGCUGAAGAAACAGUAUUCCAGGACGGCUGCUCAGGGACUGGACCAGGCUAUUGUUCCCUCAUGUUUCAAGUCAGCAGAACUGGCCUACAGGGAGGAGGUGAAACACCUGACAGACUGGUGUCACACCAACAACCUGAUCCUGAAUGUUGACAAAACAAAAGAGAUCAUUGUUGACUUCAGGAAAAAGCAGCACUGACACACACCGCUCCUCCUCAACGGCUCAGCAGUGAAGACCAUAGACAGCACAAAGUUCUCGGGGGUGCAGCUCACAAACAGUCUGACCUGGUCCCUUCACACCUCCUCACUGGUGAAGAAGGCACAGCAGCGCCUGCACUUUCUGCACAGGUUGCAAAGAGCACAGCUCCCCCCCAUUAUAGAAGACCCCACUCGAAAUGACAAAGUUAUACUUUAUACUUUAAAAAUAUACUGGAUGAAGCUUGACCCUGUGAAAUGUGUUAUUCUACCAGGACGAAAGAAUCCUUCCCGGUGACUGAUCAGUCAUUGAUUGGGGAACAGAUGCACUCCUGAAUGUUUGUUUCCACAGGAAACUGAGCUGCUGCAGGUGGAGGUGGAUCAGAGGAGACCCUGCACAAGUCCAGAUGCACUGCUGCCCCUUGACAGGAAGGAGUCAUUGUGGAGGUGCAGGUGCAGGUGGAGGUGCAGGUGCAGGUGCAGGUGGAGGUGCAGGUGCAGUAAGUCACUGGAGCAGAGCAUCUUCUCAUAAUAAGAAUUUAUAAAUGCCAAAUUGAUUGUUGAUUAAACUUAAGUUAAAAGUUAUUUUACUGUUAAACACAAUUAUAAUGAAUAAUAUUUACUAAUCAUUAGUAAUGCUAUAAACGAUGUUAGUGGUAAUUAGUUUAUAAAUGAUGUAUUGCAUUCUGAUUACAUUAAUAAACAGUUUAUUGUUGCACACAUGACUUUAUUCACUACAAUACGUGUUGAUCAUUACCAAAUGAUUUGUAAAACAUCUUUAAACAUUACAUGAAUAGACCAGAAACAAAUGAACCAUUACAAAUAUUCACUAUCUAAA